CUCGUGUCGUGAGAUGUUGGGUUAAGUCCCGCAACGAGCGCAACCCUUGUCAUUAGUUGCUACAUUUAGUUGGGCACUCUAAUGAGACUGCCGGUGACAAACCGGAGGAAGGUGGGGAUGACGUCAAGUCCUCAUGGCCCUUAUAGGUGGGGCUACACACGUCAUACAAUGGCCGGUACAAAGGGCUGCCAACCCGCGAGGGGGAGCUAAUCCCAUAAAACCGGUCGUAGUCCGGAUCGCAGUCUGCAACUCGACUGCGUGAAGUCGGAAUCGCUAGUAAUCGUGGAUCAGAAUGUCGCGGUGAAUACGUUCCCGGGCCUUGUACACACCGCCCGUCACACCAUGGGAGUGGGUUCUGCCAGAAGUAGUUAGCCUAACCGCAAGGAGGGCGAUUACCACGGCAGGGUUCGUGACUGGGGUGAAGUCGUAACAAGGUAGCCGUAUCGGAAGGUGCGGCUGGAUCACCUC
RNAcentral lists this ribosomal RNA (468 nucleotides) under bacterium enrichment culture. RNAcentral describes it as "bacterial SSU rRNA". It matches the Rfam family "Bacterial small subunit ribosomal RNA", at positions 1059 to 1529 of the family's 1533-position model. The record is from RNAcentral.